RNAcentral lists this ribosomal RNA (524 nucleotides) under uncultured Oscillibacter sp. RNAcentral's name for it is "partial 16S ribosomal RNA". The record is from RNAcentral. Lineage: Bacteria; Bacillati; Bacillota; Clostridia; Eubacteriales; Oscillospiraceae.
CACGUAGUUAGCCGUGGCUUAUUCAAGAGGUACCGUCUUCUGCUCUUCCCUCUUAAAAGAAGUUUACAACCCGAAAGCCUUCUUCCUUCAAAACGCGGCGUUGCUGGGUCAGGCUUGCGCCCAUUGCCCAAUAUUCCCCACUGCUGCCUCCCGUAGGAGUCUGGGCCGUAUCUCAGUCCCAAUGUGGCCGGUCAACCUCUCAGUCCGGCUACUGAUCGUCGCCUAGGUGGGCCUUACCCCGCUACUAGCUAAUCAGACGCGAGGCCAUCUUCCAGCGAUAAAUCUUUGGUGUCUCGAUGAUGCCAUCGAAACACAUCAUGCGGUAUUAGCAGUCGUUUCCAACUGUUCGUCCCCCUCUGGAAGGCAGGUUCCUCACGCGUUACUCACCAGUCCGCCACUAAGCAUUCCCUUCACUUGUACCGAAAACUCGUUUCGGGGGUGUCUCCGUUCGACUUGCAUGUGUUAAGCACGCCGCCAGCGUUCGUCCUGUACGCCGACGGACUACGUAACUCUCUGUACGACCG